This 325-nucleotide long non-coding RNA is filed under the name Vulpes vulpes (red fox). RNAcentral describes it as "lncRNA (ENSVVUG00000011345.1)". Lineage: Eukaryota; Metazoa; Chordata; Mammalia; Carnivora; Canidae. The record is from RNAcentral.
CCCAGGUGGAUAAUUUGUAUCUGAGCUCAGAAGGUUGAUUGCCAUUAUUCUGAGUCCAGUGGGAAUCCUGCUAGGACCCCUGGAUGAUGUGCCCCCCUGGUAGUCCCUCCCACUCAGCUCUUCCUGGAUUCUCACCAGUGCUCUGGAGUCACUCCACCUUACUGUUUACCACAGGUCAGAAUGGAACGGUCACAUUCUCAGGAAAGUUAUGCAUGGGUACUGCAACUCCCCCCUCACCCAGAUAAAAUUUUCAGGUAAUUAUAUACUUUUGUUGUUGUUAUUUUUCUGGAUUAAUAAGCUCCAAACAACACCUUUGUUUCCUGGG